Long non-coding RNA from Phyllostomus discolor (pale spear-nosed bat), 437 nucleotides. RefSeq lists it as uncharacterized. The transcript has 2 exons. NCBI's taxonomy places the organism in Eukaryota, Metazoa, Chordata, Mammalia, Chiroptera, Phyllostomidae. The record is from RefSeq and is a predicted model, not a curated record.
ACAAUGGAAAAUUCUAACAGUGGGAAAUUGUAUCCCAUUCCACCAUUCUUUUGACUCUGUUUCUGUAAGCAUUAACUGUGACUAAUAUGUCACUUGUAGAUGAACAACAUGUUUGUUCCUAGUAACUAACUUCAAAAGAUACAGAUCCUGACCUUCAAGCAUCCCAGCUCCAGGGGAUUUGCUGACCUUCAACCAUGGAGCCAGGAUGACUAAACCAGGAUGAUACACACCAGACCAUCACUUGCCUUAUCAGAAUGGACUGUGCUCGUCUGCAUAUAGAGAACCUUGCAACUCCCUUCUUUGAUCUCUUUGUUCUGUUCCCCUCUCCCCCCUUAUAAAAACCUCUGCCUCCACUGAGAUGUGAGAUGGGCUUUGUGUCAUGAGCCCUCCAUCUUCCAGAUGACCAGCAUCUGCAAAUAAACCACUUUCCUUUACAU